RNAcentral lists this ribosomal RNA (253 nucleotides) under uncultured bacterium. RNAcentral describes it as "partial 16S ribosomal RNA". It matches the Rfam family "Bacterial small subunit ribosomal RNA", at positions 524 to 776 of the family's 1533-position model. The record is from RNAcentral.
UACGUAGGGGGCAAGCGUUGUCCGGAAUCAUUGGGCGUAAAGAGCGUGUAGGCGGCCCGGUAAGUCCGCCAUGAAAGUCCAGGGCUCAACCCUGGAAUGCCGGUGGAAACUGCCGGGCUGGAGUCCGGAAGAGGCGAGUGGAAUUCCUGGUGUAGCGGUGAAAUGCGCAGAUAUCAGGAGGAACACCAAUGGCGAAGGCAGCUCGCUGGGACGGUACUGACGCUGAGACGCGAAAGCGUGGGGAGCAAACAGG